Molecule: ribosomal RNA, 277 nt
Filed under: uncultured bacterium
Lineage: Bacteria
Description: partial 16S ribosomal RNA
Rfam family: Bacterial small subunit ribosomal RNA
Source: RNAcentral
AAUCAACGCUGGCGGCGUGCCUCAGACAUGCAAGUCGGACGCGAAAGGCCCCUUCGGGGGCCGAGUAGAGUGGCGCACGGGUGAGUAACACGUGGGUAAUUUGCCUUCGGGUGGGGAAUAACAGCCGGAAACGGCUGCUAAUACCGCAUAAUGCAGCGGCACCUAAUGGUGAGUAGUUGUUAAAGCAGGGGACCCUUCGGGGCCUUGCGCCUGAAGAGAAGCCCGCGGCGGAUUAGCUAGUUGGUAGGGUAACGGCCUACCAAGGCGACGAUCCGUA